UGGGGAAUCUUGCACAAUGGGCGAAAGCCUGAUGCAGCCAUGCCGCGUGAGUGAAGAAGGCCCUAGGGUUGUAAAGCUCUUUCAGCGGGGAAGAUAAUGACGGUACCCGCAGAAGAAGCCCCGGCUAACUUCGUGCCAGCAGCCGCGGUAAGACGAAGGGGGCUAGCGUUGUUCGGAAUUACUGGGCGUAAAGCGCGCGUAGGCGGAUUGGUCAGUUGGGGGUGAAAGCCCGGAGCUCAACUCCGGAAUUGCCUUCAAUACUGCCAGUCUUGAGUACGGGAGAGGUGAGUGGAAUUCCCAGUGUAGAGGUGAAAUUCGUAGAUAUUGGGAAGAACACCGGUGGCGAAGGCGGCUCACUGGCCCGUUACUGACGCUGAGGUGCGAAAGCGUGGGGAGCAAACAGGAUUAGAUACCCCCGUAGUCC
This 424-nucleotide ribosomal RNA is filed under the name uncultured prokaryote. RNAcentral's name for it is "bacterial SSU rRNA". It matches the Rfam family "Bacterial small subunit ribosomal RNA", at positions 355 to 796 of the family's 1533-position model. The record is from RNAcentral.